GCGGCUGUAGUGUAGUGGCUAGCACUUGGGCCUUCCAAGCCCACGACCCGGGUUCGAAUCCCGGCAGCCGCA
RNAcentral lists this transfer RNA (72 nucleotides) under Methanomicrobia archaeon. Its description in RNAcentral is "tRNA-Gly". It matches the Rfam family "tRNA". Rfam says of the family: Transfer RNA (tRNA) molecules are approximately 80 nucleotides in length. The record is from RNAcentral. Lineage: Archaea; Methanobacteriati; Methanobacteriota; Methanomicrobia.